Molecule: unclassified non-coding RNA, 558 nt
Filed under: Fusarium babinda
Lineage: Eukaryota; Fungi; Ascomycota; Sordariomycetes; Hypocreales; Nectriaceae
Description: sequence contains 18S rRNA gene, ITS1, 5.8S rRNA gene, ITS2, 28S rRNA gene
Rfam family: 5.8S ribosomal RNA (bases 192-345)
Source: RNAcentral
UCGUAACAAGGUCUCCGUUGGUGAACCAGCGGAGGGAUCAUUACCGAGUUUACAACUCCCAAACCCCUGUGAACAUACCUUAAUGUUGCCUCGGCGGAUCAGCCCGCGCCCGGUAAAACGGGACGGCCCGCCAGAGGAUCCAAACUCUUGCUGUUAUUGUAACUUCUGAGUAAAACAAACAAAUAAAUCAAAACUUUCAACAACGGAUCUCUUGGUUCUGGCAUCGAUGAAGAACGCAGCAAAAUGCGAUAAGUAAUGUGAAUUGCAGAAUUCAGUGAAUCAUCGAAUCUUUGAACGCACAUUGCGCCCGCCAGUAUUCUGGCGGGCAUGCCUGUUCGAGCGUCAUUUCAACCCUCAAGCCCCCGGGUUUGGUGUUGGGGAUCGGCAAGCCUUCUGGCGAGCCGCCCCCUAAAUCUAGUGGCGGUCUCACUGCAGCCUCCAUUGCGUAGUAGCUAACACCUCGCAACUGGAACGCGGUGCGGCCAUGCCGUUAAACCCCCAACUUCUGAAUGUUGACCUCGGAUCAGGUAGGAAUACCCGCUGAACCUAAGCAUAUCA